GGGAAGAUGGCUCAGUGGUAGAGCGCUGGCUUUGCAUGCCUGAGGCCCUGGGUUCGAUUCCUCAGCACCCCA
RNAcentral lists this transfer RNA (72 nucleotides) under Dipodomys ordii (Ord's kangaroo rat). It matches the Rfam family "tRNA". Rfam says of the family: Transfer RNA (tRNA) molecules are approximately 80 nucleotides in length. Their secondary structure includes four short double-helical elements and three loops (D, anti-codon, and T loops). Lineage: Eukaryota; Metazoa; Chordata; Mammalia; Rodentia; Heteromyidae. The record is from Rfam by way of RNAcentral.